This 77-nucleotide transfer RNA is filed under the name Candidatus Peregrinibacteria bacterium. RNAcentral describes it as "tRNA-Ala". It matches the Rfam family "tRNA". Rfam says of the family: Transfer RNA (tRNA) molecules are approximately 80 nucleotides in length. Lineage: Bacteria; Candidatus Peregrinibacteriota. The record is from RNAcentral.
GGGGCUGUAGCUCAGUUGGCUAGAGCGCAUCCCUGGCAGGGAUGAGGCCGUGGGUUCAAGUCCCAUCAGCUCCACCA